This 895-nucleotide long non-coding RNA is filed under the name Zea mays. Its description in RNAcentral is "long non-coding RNA (ZMAY_LNC005640)". Lineage: Eukaryota; Viridiplantae; Streptophyta; Magnoliopsida; Poales; Poaceae. The record is from RNAcentral.
AGGGAAUGACGUCCGGUCUGCGGCGCUUGGGCGUUGGGCCAUGGCUGAUGAUGCGGUCUGCGUGCGUGGCUGGCCGUGCCUGCCGCGGUGGCUUUUGACCGCCCGUGUCGUCGUCCUCAGUGGCUCAGUGGCAACGUGUGGAAAGCCGAGUCCCGACUCCCGACUCCAAGCUAUGGCCUAUUAUAGGUUGUUGACAUCGGCCGCGGUCCGGAGGUAAGUGCUAAACUUCAGCAGUGAGAAGGCUCAAGUGUAACUUGACUUAGUAGUGUGGUGUGAUCACGUGGUGUAUCUUCUUCCGGCUGCUCUCUCAAAAAGAAAACUAUACAACAAGGAUUUCAAGAUGUCCGGUACAGCCCCAAUGUUCCCGAAUGCCUCCUGCAGGCAGAUUUGGGACGGUCCCGGCGUCUCUAAACAGAUCCGACACAUUCAAUAUAUAUGCUCAAGAUUUGUUUAACGAAUCCAGUUUCACUAUUGGUCGACAAGCACAAGCACUGGCCCCUGCAAAAGACAAGGUCGAUGCUUGGCGGCUCGAUGCAGAACUGAAACUAGUUUCCAGUGCAAGUGCCCAUUCUUUUCUUUUUCUUUUUUGUCAGGAAAAUAUCCUAAUGGAUGAGGAUUGAGGAACCCCUAAUAACAAACUGAUGUGUACUGCUAGCAGUACAGUGUUGCCCCGGGCGAUUGGAACAAGGGAGGGCUUAAGAAACCGAUGCCAUGAAUGAUUGCGAAGCCCAACUUUCUAUUGUUCCCGCGUGAUACGCGAGCUGAGCAAAGUAUCUCCGGAUUCCUAUUUAUUUUGCACGUCUCCAUCUUUCUGUGUGGGAGAGACAGAUUGCUGAAGUUACGGCCAUCCUAUCUAUGGUUUCGCAAUUUUCUUUUGGCGGCGAGUAUCAUUCCG